ACGCAUACUGCCUUCCUCAUUUUGUGGAAGUUUCAAAGUUUAGACGUGAAACUGUGUUUAGAUCGAAUUUAUGCUUUUAGAUCGAAUCUAAAGUUUUUUGUGAUUACUUUGAGCUGUACAAUAGCAGCACACGCUUUAUACUUGUUCAAACAAGUGAUUUACGGAAUUGACCGCCGAGACGUAAAUCCGUUUCUUCGUACGUAACAUCGGAUUUCAGUUUAAAUGCCGACAUUCGGUUUUCAUCGUUGCUGCAAACUGCCCGCGAUAGAUUGGAUUGAAACCUCGCUAGUAUCAUCAACUCUCAUAUUUUGUCCCAUCAUUCAAACGCGAGCUUUCGGGUUUUUAAUCGCGAAAGGUUUUCCACUGCACCUAAUUCAAUUUCCCUCUUAGUGCUCUCGAUCCUAAACAGAACUAUGCCCGAGCUGAAAGCCGGAGAAACUCGGUGGAGGCCCGGCCAUAUGACGUGGCAAAUCGUUCAGUCCGGACUUGGUAUAGGGGCGAAAGACUAAUUGAACCAUCUUAGCAGCUGGUUCCCUCCGGUUUCUCAGGAUAGCUGGAGCCCACGUGCAGAAGUUCUAUCGGGUAAAGCAAAUGAUUAGAGGCAUCGGGGCGCAAUGCCCUCGACCUAUUCUCAAAUCUUUAAAUAGGUAGGACUUACGCGGUUGUUUCGUUGAUGCCGCGUCGCUGAAUCGAGCUCCAAGUGGGCCAUUUUGGUAAGCAGAACUGGCGAUGCGGGAUGAACCGAAGGCGGGUUACUGCGUUCAACUGGCGUCAAGCAACCCGCACACCACAAAGGUGCUGGUCGACAUUCGAAGAGGACGGUGGUCAUGGAAGUCGAAAAUCGCUAAGGAGUGUAACAACUCACCUGCCGAAUCAACUAGCCCCGAAAAUGUAUAUGCUUGAAGCGCUGAGCCACCCCGGCCAUCGGGCAAGCGCCAAGCCCUUUGGCGAGUAGGAGGGGCCCGGCGGGUCGCGAAAACCCAGGGCGCAGUUCCGGCUGAGGCAGCAGCCAUCAGAUCUUGGUGGUAGUAGCAAAUAUUCAAAUGAGAACUUUGAAGGCCGAAGAGGGGAAAGGUCCCAUGUGAAUGGCACUUGCACACGGGUUAGCCGAUCUCUAAGGACGGGAAAGCCCAUCCUAGAGCCAGCCUUUCAGUUCGAAGGAAUCCAAGUUCAUUCCCAGAGCCGACGCUGGCAGGACUGCAAACGCGAGGAAGUCCAGAGAUUUUGGGCUCGAAGAGUUAUCUUUUUCUGCUUAACGUCUACCUUACUUGAAACGGUCUCAGCGAGGAGGUAGGGUCUAUGGUCUAAGCAUGCCACUGUCAAGCCUUAGCGCUUGGUCAUAAAAUUUUAAAUCCAGAAAAUCGAGGCCGCUCAAGGCCGCCCUCAUAACCCCAUUUGGUCUCCAUUUGAACAGCCUCUUAUUCCCAUGGAACAAUGUAGGGAAGGGAAGGCGGCAAACGGAUCCGUAAUCUCAGGAAAAGGAUUGCCUCAGGGCUGGGCACGGGGUCCCAGCCCAACCCGUGGUUGUUUUGGGACUGCUCGACCUACUCGCUCGAGAAAGCUGGUCGCCGCCUUGUCCAGCAGGACGGACAGAAUAAGCCCCCCCUUUCCGAUUCAAAUAGUGGGCUUCUGGUACCUGUGCGGAUGACUGAAUCAUUUGGUCCCCAAAGCGAUGGUCCCACGAUGUUCCACGAUGAUUUCCUUCGCCGUUUCGAAUGUCAAGUGAAGAAAUUCAACCAAGCUCGGUAAACGGUGGGAAUAACUUGCGACUCUCUUUAAUUGCUUCAAUGCCUCACACAUCUAAUUAGUGACGCUGCGAUGAAUGGAUUAACGGAAUUCCCACUGUCCCCGCUUACUAUCCAUAAAACCACCAAGGGAACCGGUUGAGAAUCCCGUGGGGAAAAGGACCUGUUGGAGCAGACUGGUCUUGCCUUGUGAAAUGACUUGAGAGGUGUAGGAAGGGAGCCGGUUCCGCAGAAUGAAGUGAAAAUACCACUACUUUUAACGUUAUUUUACUUAUUCUGUGAGUCGGAGGCGCGGGUCUGCCCCUCCUUUUGAUUACGUUCCCUUUAGCGGCCAAUCCGGGCGGAAGACAUUGUUAGGUGGGGAGUUUGGUGGGGCGGCACAUCUGUUAAAAGAUAACGCAGAUGUCCUAAGAUGAGCUCAACGGAACAGAAAUCCCGUGUGAACAAAAAAGGUAAAAGCUUGCUGAUUCUGAUUUCCAGUGCGAAUACUUAACCGUGAAAGCGGCCUAUCGAUCCUUUGACCUUCGAAUUUUGAGUUAGAGGUGUCAGAAAAGAUACCACAGGGAUAACUGGCUUUGGCAGCCAAGCCGCUCAUAGCGACGCUGCUUUUUGAUCCUUCACAUGUCGGCUCUUCCUAUCAUUAUGAAGCAGAAUUCACCAAGUGUUGGAUUGUUCACCCACCAAAUAGGGAACGUGAGCUGGGUUUAGACCUGGCGUGAGACAGGUUAGUUUUUACCUCAUCGGAUGAUCGUCGCCGAGUAGUAAUUCAACCUAGUAGUACGAGGAACCGUGAUUCCACAAUUGGUCAUCGCCAUUUUGGUUGAAAAGCCGCGCUUAAGUUAAUGCGGUGUUGAUUAUGACCGAACGCCGCAGUCAGAAUCCUUAGCUAGCAACCGGCGCCCGCCUGCCGCUCGGCCCGACAUUGUAGGGGCUUUAAUACCGCGUGUAGUUCGUGGUGGUAUAGCCACGAAGCGCCAUCGAAGUGAAUUCAGACGGAUUCGACGUAUUUUGCAUACUGAAUUUAAAUACGCUGAAGGGUAUUGU
This 2789-nucleotide ribosomal RNA is filed under the name Musa schizocarpa. RNAcentral describes it as "eukaryotic LSU rRNA". It matches the Rfam family "Eukaryotic large subunit ribosomal RNA", at positions 443 to 3301 of the family's 3401-position model. Lineage: Eukaryota; Viridiplantae; Streptophyta; Magnoliopsida; Zingiberales; Musaceae. The record is from RNAcentral.